This 181-nucleotide long non-coding RNA is filed under the name Saimiri boliviensis boliviensis (Bolivian squirrel monkey). Its description in RNAcentral is "TP53 target 1 conserved region 2 (ENSSBOG00000010800.1)". It matches the Rfam family "TP53 target 1 conserved region 2". The record is from RNAcentral. Lineage: Eukaryota; Metazoa; Chordata; Mammalia; Primates; Cebidae.
CUUCGUGGCGGAGCGCGGACUACCCAGAGCGCCUUCUAUAACGUGGGUCAGGCGCCAAGCUCCCUCAGCUUCGCGCAGGAAUCUGCAGCCUGGCAGAAUUAGGACCGCUCUUUCGCGACUGGCGAGCCUGUCCCAGGCCCGCAGCCCAGAAUGGAGUCGCGGCCCAAAACUCUCGCUAGAG